Molecule: ribosomal RNA, 382 nt
Filed under: uncultured bacterium
Lineage: Bacteria
Description: bacterial SSU rRNA
Rfam family: Bacterial small subunit ribosomal RNA
Source: RNAcentral
AACGAACGCUGGCGGCGCGCUUAACACAUGCAAGUCGAACGAGAAGCUGUAGCAAUACAGUUGUAAAGUGGCAAACGGGUGAGUAAUGCGUGGGUAAUCUACCCUAGGGUGGGGAAUAACUCCUCGAAAGGGGAGCUAAUGCCGACAUGUGCGCCACUCUCGCAAGGGAGUGAUGGAAAGCCGUACCGUGGGUGCGGCGCCCAAGGAUGAGCUCACGUCCUANCAGCUUGUUGGCGGGGUAACGGCCCACCAAGGCUGCGACGGGUAGCUGGUCUGAGAGGACGACCAGCCACACUGGCACUGCGACACGGGCCAGACUCCUACGGGAGGCAGCAGUGAGGAAUAUUGCACAAUGGACGACAGUCUGACGCAGCGACGCCGC